GAUGAACGCUGGCGGCGUGCUUAACACAUGCAAGUCGAACGAUGAUGCCCAGCUUGCUGGGUGGAUUAGUGGCGAACGGGUGAGUAACACGUGAGUAACCUGCCCUUGACUCUGGGAUAAGCCUGGGAAACUGGGUCUAAUACCGGAUACGACCAUCUGGCGCAUGUCAUGGUGGUUGAAAGCAUUUGUGGUUUUGGAUGGACUCGCGGCCUAUCAGCUUGUUGGUGGAGUAAUGGCCUACCAAGGCGACGACGGGUAGCCGGCCUGAGAGGGGGACCGGGGACACUGGGCCUGAGACACGGAGCAGACUCCUACGGUACGCAGCAGUGGGGAAUAUUGCACAAUGGGCGCAAGCGUGAUACAGCGACGCCGCGUGAGGGAUGACGGCCUUCUGGUGAUAAACCUCUUUCAAUAGAGAAGAAGCGAUAGUGACGGUACCUGCAGAAGAAGCGCCGGCUAACUACGUG
RNAcentral lists this ribosomal RNA (467 nucleotides) under uncultured bacterium. RNAcentral's name for it is "partial 16S ribosomal RNA". It matches the Rfam family "Bacterial small subunit ribosomal RNA", at positions 28 to 507 of the family's 1533-position model. The record is from RNAcentral.